This 253-nucleotide ribosomal RNA is filed under the name uncultured bacterium. RNAcentral's name for it is "partial 16S ribosomal RNA". It matches the Rfam family "Bacterial small subunit ribosomal RNA", at positions 524 to 776 of the family's 1533-position model. The record is from RNAcentral.
UACAGAGGGUGCGAGCGUUGUCCGGAAUCACUGGGCGUAAAGGGCGCGUAGGUGGCUCGUUAAGCGUGUGGUGAAAGCCUGGGGCUCAACCCCAGGUCUGCCGUGCGAACUGGCGAGCUUGAGAGUAGUAGAGGCGGGUGGAAUUUCGGGUGUAGCGGUGGAAUGCGUAGAUAUCCGAAAGAACACCGGUGGCGAAGGCGGCCCGCUGGGCAGUAGCUGACGCUGAGGCGCGACAGCGUGGGGAGCAAACAGG